UGGGGAAUAUUGGACAAUGGGCGAAAGCCUGAUCCAGCCAUGCCGCGUGUGUGAAGAAGGUCUUCGGAUUGUAAAGCACUUUAAGUUGGGAGGAGGGGCAGUAAGCGAAUACCUUGCUGUUUUGACGUUACCGACAGAAUAAGCACCGGCUAACUCUGUGCCAGCAGCCGCGGUAAUACAGAGGGUGCAAGCGUUAAUCGGAAUUACUGGGCGUAAAGCGCGCGUAGGUGGUUCGUUAAGUUGAAUGUGAAAGCCCCGGGCUCAACCUGGGAACUGCAUCCAAAACUGGCGAGCUAGAGUAGGGCAGAGGGUGGUGGAAUUUCCUGUGUAGCGGUGAAAUGCGUAGAUAUAGGGAGGAACACCAGUGGCGAAGGCGACCACCUGGGCUCAUACUGACACUGAGGUGCGAAAGCGUGGGGAGCAAACAGG
Molecule: ribosomal RNA, 429 nt
Filed under: Pseudomonadota bacterium
Lineage: Bacteria; Pseudomonadati; Pseudomonadota
Description: Proteobacteria bacterium partial 16S ribosomal RNA
Rfam family: Bacterial small subunit ribosomal RNA
Source: RNAcentral